RNAcentral lists this long non-coding RNA (879 nucleotides) under Zonotrichia albicollis (white-throated sparrow). RNAcentral's name for it is "lncRNA (ENSZALG00000001783.1)". Lineage: Eukaryota; Metazoa; Chordata; Aves; Passeriformes; Passerellidae. The record is from RNAcentral.
CCCAAAGUCCACAUUUUCCAGCCCCAAAUAUUCCCUGUUAGUUGCUCCACAUGAACAGACAGAAAAGGGGGAAUUUUGAACCCCCAUUUUUUUCUUAAAAGUCAAUAGGAAAAAACCACAUUUUGGGAGUUAAUGUCCUUGUGGGAUCCAAUGCUGGAACUUUGUGGCUCCAAAGAGUCAGAAUGAUGGGAAUGGCACUUCCAGAGGUGCCAAAACCCCCCAAAAUCCCAAAUAUUCCCAAGAAAACUAUGGUUUCAGCUUGAGCCAGGGGUGCAGGAUGGUGACGAUGGAGAGCAGGGAUGAGCUGAGCCCACAGAACCCCACAUUUUCCAACCCCAAAUCCACAUUUUCCAGCCCCAAAAUCCCACAUUUUCCAGCCCCAAAUAUUCCCAUUAGCUGGAUCCAUAUGAAAGGCUCUUCCCAGACAGAAAGGGGGAACAUUAAACCCCCAUUUUUUCCCUAUAAUUGCUCGAAAAGUCAAUGGGAAAAACCACAUUUUGAGAGUUCAUGUCCUUGUGGGAUCCAAUGCUGUCACUCCAAAGAGUCAGGAAUGAAGGGAAUGGCACCAACCAGUCACUUCCAGAGGUGCCAAAACUCCCCAAAAUCCCUCAAAAAUCCCCAGAAAACUACGGUUUCAGCUUGAGCCAGGGGUGCAGGAUGGUGAUGAUGGAGAGCAGCGACGAGCUGAGCCCACACAACCCCACAUUUUCCAGCCCCAAAAUCCCACAUUUUUCAACCUCAAAUAUUCCCUGUUAGUCGGUCCAUAUGAAAGGCUCUUCCCAGACAGAAAGGGGGAAUGUUUAACCCCUAUUUUUUUCCCUAAAAUCCCUGGAAAAGUCAAUAGGAAAAAACCACAUUUUGGGAGUUGAUGUCCUUUGU